CUACGGGGGGCAGCAGUGGGGAAUAUUGCACAAUGGGCGCAAGCCUGAUGCAGCCAUGCCGCGUGUAUGAAGAAGGCCUUCGGGUUGUAAAGUACUUUCAGCGGGGAGGAAGGGAGUAAAGUUAAUACCUUUGCUCAUUGACGUUACCCGCAGAAGAAGCACCGGCUAACUCCGUGCCAGCGGCCGCGGUAAUACGGAGGGUGCAAGCGUUAAUCGGAGUUACUGGGCGUAACGCGCACGCAGGCGGUUUGUUAAGUCAGAUGUGAAAUCCCCGGGCUCAACCUGGGAACUGCAUCUGAUACUGGCAAGCUUGAGUCUCGUAGAGGGGGGUAGAAUUCCAGGUGUAGCGGUGAAAUGCGUAGAGAUCUGGAGGAAUACCGGUGGCGAAGGCGGCCCCCUGGACGAAGACUGACGCUCAGGUGCGAAAGCGUGGGGAGCAAACAGGAUUAGAUACCCUUGUAGUC
Molecule: ribosomal RNA, 464 nt
Filed under: uncultured bacterium
Lineage: Bacteria
Description: partial 16S ribosomal RNA
Rfam family: Bacterial small subunit ribosomal RNA
Source: RNAcentral